GCUGCUCCUGACAUGAAUGUGAUCUAUACCGCGCGUAUUUUGACAGUGUGCAGGUGUACCAUUCAUUAGUUUUUUAAUUGAAAACUUGUAUGAAAGGUUGGACAAAAAAAAAGCUGUCUCUUCUUUAAAAUUGAAAUUAACUUCUGAGUGAAAAGGCUUAUAUUUUCUCUAGGGAGGAGAUAACCCUAUAAAGCUUUAUAUAUUGAUUGGAUUAAACCAAUUUUUUAAAAUAAAAGUAAAUUUGUAAAAUGUUUUUGCUUGGGGAGACUUAUGUUUUUAGUUGAAUAACUGUUUAUACCGGUUAAACAAUUAUAUUUGAUAAAAAUUUAAAUGAUCCUUAAUAAAGAUUAAAAGAUCAAGUUACUUUAGGGAUAACAGCGUAAUUUCUUUUAAGAGUUCUUAUCAAAGAAGGAGUUUGCGACCUCGAUGUUGAAUUAAAAUGUCUUUAUAGUGCAGCAGCUAUAAAAGAAGGUCUGUUCGACCUUUAAUUUUUUACGUGAUCUGAUUUCAGACCGGGGAAA
This 521-nucleotide ribosomal RNA is filed under the name Scylla olivacea (orange mud crab). RNAcentral's name for it is "partial 16S ribosomal RNA". The stretch from base 371 to 521 matches the Rfam family "Bacterial large subunit ribosomal RNA", at positions 2473 to 2624 of the family's 2925-position model. The record is from RNAcentral. Lineage: Eukaryota; Metazoa; Arthropoda; Malacostraca; Decapoda; Portunidae.